CCUACGGGUGGCAGCAGUGAGGAAUAUUGCUCAAUGGCCGGAAGGCUGAACCAGCCAAGUCGCGUGAGGGAAUAAGGCCCUAGGAUUCGUAACCCUCGUUUGUCAGGGAGCAAGGGCGUCCUCGUAUGGACGAGAGGAGUGUACCUGAAUACAAAGCAUCCACUAACUCCGUUCCUGCAGCCGCGGUAGUACGGAGGAUGCGAGCGUUCUCCGGAUUGAGUGGGUUUAAAGGGUGCGUAGGCGGAGGGUCAAGUAAUUGGUAAAAUAUCGGGGCUAACCCCGGACGUGCCGUUGAAACUGACGAACUGGAGUGAGUGAGAGGUAAGCGGAAUGCGAGGUGUAGGGGUGAAAUGCAUAGAUAUCACGCAGAACGUCGAUUGCGAAGGCAGCUAACAGGCGCUCAACUGACGCUGAGGAACGAAAGUGUGGGUAUCGAACAGGAGUAGAUACCCGAGUAGUC
RNAcentral lists this ribosomal RNA (460 nucleotides) under uncultured bacterium. RNAcentral's name for it is "partial 16S ribosomal RNA". It matches the Rfam family "Bacterial small subunit ribosomal RNA", at positions 338 to 795 of the family's 1533-position model. The record is from RNAcentral.